Molecule: ribosomal RNA, 293 nt
Filed under: uncultured bacterium
Lineage: Bacteria
Description: partial 16S ribosomal RNA
Rfam family: Bacterial small subunit ribosomal RNA
Source: RNAcentral
GGCAGCCUACGGGAGGCAGCAGUGGGGAAUAUUGCACAAUGGGGGAAACCCUGAUGCAGCGACGCCGCGUGAGUGAAGAAGUAUUUCGGUAUGUAAAGCUCUAUCAGCAGGGAAGAAGAAGGACGGUACCUGAGUAAGAAGCCCCGGCUAACUACGUGCCAGCAGCCGCGGUAAUACGUAGGGGGCAAGCGUUAUCCGGAUUUACUGGGUGUAAAGGGAGCGUAGACGGCAGGGCAAGUCUGGAGUGAAAGCCCGGGGCACAACCCCGGGACUGCUUUGGAAACUGCCAUGCU